UUUUGUGAUAUUUACAGUGGUAAGAUAUUUUAACUACAAUUGAUUAAAACCACUGUCUCCGUCCAUCCCAUCUUUCCCCCAGUGGCAGGCAAUGCUGGAGUGGCCACAAACAUAUUUGAAAUCUGGCUAAAGAAAAUUUACCUUGACAAUACUUUGAGUUUGAGUUUAAUGGUAUACAUUUAUAUGGUUUAUGGUCACUUAAAGUGUAUAGGUAUGUAAUUGCUGACCAUCUGGAUACAGAGAUGACUUCCAGGAAUCUUUCUCAUGCUCUUUGACUCAAACGGGGCAGAGGUAGAGAUCCUUUGAUUGUGGUCAGUUCAAAGAGCAGUGUGACUACACUGCUUAUGGAAACUUGAAAUGCCUUAAAAUCAUCAGGUCUUAGAUGAAACACCUUGGGUAGAGAUUUCCAUCUGUAUCUGACAGCAAUCCUUUGUAACACUAUAAAUGAUGAUAUAUGAAACUAAAAGGAACAUUUUAAACUAUCAAAAAAUACAUCUUUAAUAUGCUAAAACAAAGACUUAAUUAUCUUCCUAUUCUUUCUAGAAAAUAUUACGAAAUUAUUGUCAUGUGAAGAAUACAUCAAAAAAUAAGGGACAGACAAUAAAUUAAUAAAAGUACUAUGCUUUUUGGGCAUUUUGAUACUUACUUUAUUUGCCAUCUUAGGAAAAUUUGGUCCUUAUUAAGACUCUUAUUCUCAAUAAAUUAUUACAUGUAGCUAAUUUUGCAUUUGCAGGUUUGUGUUAUCUUUUGGGGGAGCAUCCCUAGUGGUAUAAGCUCCAUAACCUGAAAAACCUGGAUUCAAUCCUGCAUGACAGGAAACUAAAAUAAUUCAAUUUAUUUUCCUAAGAAUAUUAUGUAUUUGUUUCAAAUUAAAUUUAGUUACCAAAAAUAAAGAUUUGUUUAAAGUUUUCCUUUUUUACUUUAAUAGAUUUCAUCAAGAUGAAGGACCUUUAUGUAGUUGCUCUUAAUAUGGCAAUUCUGUUACGUUGUUUCAUAGCCUGGCAAGCUAAAUUGAAGUAAAUAGUACAUUUUCAAAGACUCAGCUUUGCUAUCUAUUAAAUGGGUAAUGAAUUAGAUUGCCUACUUUCACUUCCCUCUGGUCACCUUGGUUGUGCCUUUUGCUAAGUGAAAAAAAGACAAAUACCCAUCACAAAUAAUAUACAGUGAUAUAAUACACAUUAACUUAGGACAGGUUUGCAAUUUCUCUGUGGCUUAACUUUUUCAAAAAUAACCUGGGACAAUUAAUACAUGCUUCACAGGGAAGCUUAGAGGGUUAGUAACACAAUACCAGUGUAAAGGCUUAGAAAAAAAGUGGCCUCUAAGACUGAGGUAGAAUUAUACAUGAUGUGUCCCAAACAAAUUGGAUUAUUCCAGAAUGGCUAUAGGCCCUUAGUUUCAUGAAUGAUCCUUUAAAAACAAAGAGUUAAACCCUGAAGGUUCAGUUACAGCUUGAUGAAAUACUUGGAAUGACCAAAUUUAGAAUUCAGACUUUGUUGUACUUCAGAGAUAAGGAACGGCCACAACUACCAUUUCUUACCCUUGUCCAGAACAACACCUUAUUAUUCUCUCCUUUCUCCAUAAAUUGGAGUUUACUAGGCUAAGCAAUUUUUUACAUAAGUUUUGCAGGCAUAUCUGGUGGCUGCCACCAGAUAGAAGGGGUGAGGACAUUUUCAUGCACUACUGGUCAUGGCCUUAAACUCUUCAUCAUUUCUGUUUCUUUCCUACAAAUCCAAUCUUUGUUAAAAUAACAAAACAUAGCAGUUAACAUUUCAAAUAUUUGCUCAUAUUACUUAUACACUAUAAAAUGCUAAUAAUGAGAAAAAAUUUCAAAAAGGUAAAAAAAUUUAGGACACUUUAAUUCUUACCAACCAUUGUAAAUUUUUUUUUUAAUGUGCUUAUUUUUUUUAUUUUUUUUUCAGAUUCCUUUUUAAUUUUUUUUUUUUAAUUUUCCCACUGUACAGCAAGGGGGUCAGGUUAUCCUUACAUGUAUACAUUACAAUUACAUUUUUCCCCCACCCUUUCUUCUGUUGCAACAUGAGUAUCUAGACAUAGUUCUCAAUGCUAUUCAGCAGGAUCUCCUUGUAAAUCUAUUCUAAGUUGUGUCUGAUAAAUUUAAAUCUUGUUCUCAUUCAAGGCAUUUUCCUAAACUCAAAGUCAUUCAUUGAUAAUUUGUGGACUCCCAGUUCUAGUGCUUUGGUGCUUGAGAAGAACCCUGACAGAAAUAGCCCUCAUAGAAAGCCCUCUUUAAAUUUAUUUGGGAGAAUAAUUUCUAUUUUAUAAAUACCACUCACAGCUGAUCAGAGGCUAGGUAUUAAGGCCUUUUUAAAACUUCUGAUUAGCUCUCAAUUCACCCAGACCAGGUUUCCAAAUUUUUACAGCGUUCUGCUCCAUGUGGCCUCAGAGAGAAGAAAAAUAUUCACCUCAGUUUAUAAAUCUUUUCAGGAGGCAAAAUAUCCUAUAUUUUGCCCAAACUCUCAGAGGGUCUCUUUCUGGUAAAAAGUGUUUGUUUUCUCUAUUUCUCUAACUUUUCCAAGAGAUUACAAUUCUUUAAAAUGACCAUUUGGCAUAAAAGCUAAUAUACUCUAAAGUAUUUUCUUUUGUAAGUUCUUCAGGCUUUUGCUGUUUCAUAACUAUUCCUUUCCAGAACUUUCUGGUACCAAUUUACUUCAAGGGAAUCUUAGAUUUUUAUCAUAGCCUUUAUUUCAAAAAUGACUUGAACAGCAAACUCAAGUUUUGAAGAGGUUAUAGAAGUUUCCUUGCUUAACUAAAGAGCCCAUAGUCUAAACAAAAACUCAAAUACAAAAGCUCUCUUGAUAACCAGAAAAAUGAUACUGUUGGAAAUUGUUUAAAUUCUACUGAUAACAAAACCCAUUCCCAGUAAAAUAAAAUGAAUGCUCAUAUGGAUAUUCCGUUAUGAAAAUAGGUUUCCUUUUAUCUUCUGUGGUAAGUAUUUAUUGUUUUAACAGCUCUUGGUAAGAAAAGCAUAGCUACAUGUAUGGGUAUAAUUUUCUUUGAUGUAAAUUUCUCUUCUGUUAUUUUCCUUACCUCCUAUUUGUAAUUUUGCAUUGCUUUAUGGAGCAUCCAUGACACUGUUAACUUUUUUCCCAAACAAAUAGGGUCAUUUACUCUAGUUCUGCUCCAAUAGCUUGAAAAGUCCCCAUUAAACACCCAGGUAUCUUCCUAAUUAAAGCAGGUACCUGACUCUUGAAAGCCCACUGGAAAAUUCCACUGAUGUUUGACACUUGGGGCAAAUCAGCAAUGAGAACUUCUGCUUAAGCUUUUUUAAACUACAAAGGCUCUUAGAAUGUGAGCCAAGUACUUAACUGGUAUAACUUUUCCAAAGAAUUCCAGAAGUAACUCUUAUCUUCUUAAGUUGAUGAAUCGAAAGAUAUAAAUAAGACUUUAUCUUAGGAAAUUAUCUCUGGAAGCUUACUGCACAAUAUUUUGUUGUAUAAACAAACAGUUUCAAAGGAAAAACCAUCCUUAAUUAGAACAAACUUUAGUGCAGGUAUUGAAAAUGGUCUAUUCUGAAACCCUUGGAGAAGCAGCAUCUCAAAUGGUAUCUUUAUUGCUAUUAAGUAUACAUGACCUAUGGCAUAAUCUUGGGUAUGUUCCCCUUAAUGGAAACAACCAAUUGCUUUUGAGUCACCUCUUCACCAUGGUAAUCAUAAGUAAUUGAAUAUAAUUCAAGGAAUACUUCUAAAUAGUUUGGCAAGAAAAAAAACCUAAAAUUGGGUAAAACUUUCCUAAAUAUUUCACUCCUCAAUUUCAAAAUAUCUAGAGAUAAAUUUUAAAAGUGUCUUGGAAAUUCAGAUGCAAUCAAUUUCACCUAAAAAUUUCAGGAUUAUAGUUUUGUCACAAUUGUAGCAGAUAAGCUGAUUCUUUGUGAAUAACCAAAAAUUGAUAAAAAUCAAUAAACAUUCCCCAAAAAGAAAGACUACAAGGCAAUGCAGUUGACCUUUUGACUUGCCUGAGUAAUUGACCUGAGUAAUUUAUGAGGUCUUCUUCAUCUCUUUUAAUUGUUCUGUUAACAUGUUGAGAUAUAUUUUGUUUUGUUUUUCUUAUUUAAAAUUAAACAGCCAUAACCAAAUGAGUCAUAAACCUAAUAUUUAUAUCUUUAUCAUUUCUUUUUUUAGUAUGAGAUAAUAAUUAAACAAUUAUAUAUUGAUUUAGCAUAUAUUUAAAGAGACUAAAGGUAAGAAAGUAUACUAGAAAAUGUGUUGAGUUCAGCUCGAAAUGUUACAUGAAUUAAGCAGUUUUUUCCCCUAUAUUCCUUUAGUCUACUCAUUCAUUCAUUAUGUAAAUAGGCUAAACCUGUUUAGAAUAAUAUACAGAAUAAGUUAUCAUGUAUCAUUAUCACUGUUAUUAUUUUGCUCCUUGUUCUCUUUACCUAUCAUAAGCACUGAGCCCCCUGAGCUGUCUCCAAGGUUGAGGAACAGUGUAUUUAGACUCUGUGAAAGAGGGGACUGCUAAAAAGGAGGAUUUUAUCAAAGGGGCACAUGGACCUCCCUAGAGGAUAGACUUCUUGGCAUUAUGACUUCCUCAAGUUCUCAAAUUGUGCUGGUGACUGACUGAAUCCUCUAUGCUGCCUGGUCUCUAAUUAAAACAAGAUGUCUGAUAUCAGAGGAAAUGAGGAACAGAGUUCUGGCAUGAAAAGCAUUUCUCAUUUCCUUUGGACAUUUGAGACUUUAAGUGAGUUGUGGCACUCCACCUCUGGUGAUUCAGUGACACCAUGCAUUUAAAAUAAUACCCACUCCUCUCUUUGUAACAUGGACUCCAGUUUAGGACAUCAUUUUCUUAUAUGAAAACAGCUAUGACUACCAUGAUAAAAUCUGCUUUGUUAUAGAAUUUAUAUGAAAAGUUUUAAAAAUUUAAACUCAUGUAUAAUAGAAGGCUUCCUAUGACACCACAUCUGGUUAAUAAUCAACAAAGAAAUGUUGAUGCAAAUUAUAUAAACCUAUUGGUACCGUAAUCAUUUAUUCUAAAUAGUUUGCACAAGAACAGUUAAUGAGGAGGAAUGAAGGCAUUAGUUUGGAAGACUUGGAAGAGAUUUGACCUUCUUGUUUCUCUGAGCCAACAAAGCAGGUCAUCUAGAUAUAUGCUUACUCAGGACUAGAACAUCUAUAGGAGAAAUCGAUUCCUAGAGGAUGAGAUUAAUUUGCAGCAUGUCAAACUCUUUAACACUGCAAAUUUGCCACAGGCAUGGGAUCUUUUUUCAUGUAUUUUUACUUUCUUUCAUCCUUAGUCUGAAUGUUCUUCCAAGCAUUUAUUCAGUAUUCAUUAAAUUGAUAAAUGGUCUUUAAGAUAUUUUUCUACAACCAGUCUGUAAACUCUGCUGAAAUAGCCUUUCCCAGAAUAGAGAGCUAUGAAAGGCAUUGGAAUGCCAAUCAAAUUUUGAUUCAGUAAAAAAAAAAAAAAGUUAGAUACAUUUAAAGCUAUAAAUUCUUCUGUCUACCAAAGACAAUUUUUCUCACCUUUCCUUUGGAUUUUUUAGUUGUCUUUGCUGAAAAAUGUGUAUAUUAAAAUUGUACAAAGAUAGUAAAGCCGGUGUGGGGAUAUACUGGAAUUACACUUUAAAUUUAAUAAUUGACUGUUCUUCAUGGAGUCACCAUGACAAACUACAGAAUCUAGAAAGCAUGUUUUUUCCUAUUGUUUCACUAUGUUUCCUUCAGUGCAGUUUGAUUUUUAUCAAUAGGGUGUUGACAUCAUUUCCUUUCUAAGUGGCCAUUGUUUAACUCUGGUGGAGAGCGGCAGGAAGAAGGCAAUAUAUUUAUUUAUAUAAAAGGUUCUAGUCAGGAAAAUACUUUCUUGGGUAUUUUAUUUCCUCAUUGUCAAAUGCAAGGUUCUUAUAAAAAGAUAGUGGCAGUGUUUCCAUUUAACACAAAAAUGCGGUCAUUUGUUUCUGUUCAUGGAGCUUUUUCUUACCUCCAUAUCACUUUUGAUAAACAUGUUUUAUUUUGGGAUUUACUUUUUAUCCUCCCCUAAAUUCCAAAAAGUUAUCUUGGCAUUAGGAUCCC
This 6017-nucleotide long non-coding RNA is filed under the name Sus scrofa (pig). RNAcentral describes it as "lncRNA (ENSSSCG00000053626.1)". The record is from RNAcentral. Lineage: Eukaryota; Metazoa; Chordata; Mammalia; Artiodactyla; Suidae.